Molecule: long non-coding RNA, 681 nt
Organism: Salvia miltiorrhiza (redroot sage)
Lineage: Eukaryota; Viridiplantae; Streptophyta; Magnoliopsida; Lamiales; Lamiaceae
Exons: 2
Source: RefSeq, a predicted model, not a curated record
UUAUUAUUAUUAAUGAUUCCUAUUAGAAUUAGAACUCCUUUUAUCAUCUUUAUUCUUUAUCUUAGUAGGAGAUAUACAUAGAAAAUAAUUUUUUUAUAUUUAUCAAAAGCUCUUUAGAAACUAGUAUAAAUAUGGGAUCCAUUUUCAAACCCUAAAAGAGACGGACACACUAAUUAAUUAGGGUUUUAGAGAGCAGAGAGGGCCAGAAACGUGUGGAGUCAGAUUUUCGCAGGAAAUCAAGUUCUGGCAGUUUCAGGAGAACGGCCAUAACUUCCUCCACAGAACUCCGAUUCAAGCGAAACAGGCGGCCACGGAAAGCUCUCUCGAAGACGAAGAAGUCGUAUUUCUGGGCAAAAUACGAUUUGAGGACGUUUGAGGCUUCAAACGAAGGCUUGAAGCUGACUGGUCUGUUCAGCUGCGAUUUUGACGAAUUCUUCUGGUGCGGCGCUAUUAAGACCUUCUUUCCGGUUUUGUUUUGUUUCGACAUUAAGUUUUGCAGUUUUAGUGUCGAGGUGGCCAUGGAAGUCGAGAAUGACUAGAGAUUUAGUAUUUCCAUAGAAAUUUAAGUUGAAACAUGUUACUUUUUAGUUUAUCAUUUUAUUUCAUGUUACUACUUUAGUUUUGACAAGUUGAUUUUAAAUUGGUUUAAACUUUUAUAAUUCAAGAAAUUUUAUUUUUAUA